RNAcentral lists this ribosomal RNA (468 nucleotides) under uncultured bacterium. RNAcentral describes it as "partial 16S ribosomal RNA". It matches the Rfam family "Bacterial small subunit ribosomal RNA", at positions 28 to 507 of the family's 1533-position model. The record is from RNAcentral.
GACGAACGCUGGCGGCGUGCUUAACACAUGCAAGUCGAACGGAAAGGCCCUGCUUUUGUGGGGUGCUCGAGUGGCGAACGGGUGUGUAACACGUGAGUAACCUGCCCUUUACUUUGGGAUAACUUCAUGAAACUGGGGCUAAUACCGGAUAGGAGCUCCUGCUGCAUGGUGGUGGUUGGAAAGUUUCGGCGGUUGGGGAUGGACGCGCGGCUUAUCAGCUUGUUGGUGGGGUAGUGGCUCACCACGGCUUUGACGGGUAGCCGGCCUGAGAGGGUGACCGGCCACAUUGGGACUGAGAUACGGCCCAGAGGGAUACGGGAGGCAGCGGCGGAGAACAUUGCACACUGGGCCGCAGCCUGAUGCAGCAACUCCGGGUGCGGAAUGACGGCUUUCGGGGUGGAAAGCGCUUUAGCCUGAGACGAAGCGUGAGUGACGGUAAUGGGUAAAGAAGCACCGGCUAACUACGUG